This 402-nucleotide long non-coding RNA is filed under the name Manihot esculenta (cassava). RNAcentral's name for it is "long non-coding RNA (MESC_LNC009658)". The record is from RNAcentral. Lineage: Eukaryota; Viridiplantae; Streptophyta; Magnoliopsida; Malpighiales; Euphorbiaceae.
AUGUUUUAGGGGGUUUUUGGGGAGUAUAUUAGAGUUGUAUUUACGUAUGUUUGGUCCCUCAUUUGAGUCCACCUGUGUAGGUUCGGACCCGAGGAACCGAGGACCCCAGCAGUGAGUUCAGCUGCUUCGGUGUUGUCAGAGUCAGCCAGAGGUGAGUGGAACUAAACUUAAUCUUUUAAAUUAAAUGUUUUAUCAUGUAUCAUGCAUCAUGAUUAUGCAAUAGGAUGAUUGCAUUAGUUUUCACGAAUAUGCCGCAUUGCAUCGAUUGUUGUUGAUGUGGGUGAAUGUCGAAUGACCCAAUUAGUCCAUGACAGGAAGACCAGGCCCCAUGCUACAGGCCUGGCACAGAGUAAGAAAGACCAGGCCCCAUUCUACAGGCCUGGCACAGAGUAAGGAAAGACC